This 503-nucleotide ribosomal RNA is filed under the name Oeneis chryxus (Chryxus arctic butterfly). RNAcentral describes it as "partial 16S rRNA". Lineage: Eukaryota; Metazoa; Arthropoda; Insecta; Lepidoptera; Nymphalidae. The record is from RNAcentral.
GAUUUUAAUGAUCGAACAGAUCAAAAUUUUAAACUUUUGCACUUAAAUUUUAUCUUAAUCCAACAUCGAGGUCGCAAACUUUUUUUUUUAUUUGAACUAAAAAAAAAUAUUACGCUGUUAUCCCUAAGGUAAUUUUUUCUUAUAAUCAUUAUUAAUGGAUCAUUUAAUCAUUUAUUUAUGUUUAAUUUUUAAAAAAAGUUAAUUUAAUUUUUCUAUCACCCCAAUAUAAUAAUUAAUUUUAUUUUAAUAAAAAUUUUUAUAUAACUUUAAAAUAAAAAUAAAUAUAAAACUCUAUAGGGUCUUCUCGUCUUUUAAAAUUAUUUUAGCUUUUUAACUAAAAAAUAAAUUUCUAAAAAUAAAUAAGAGACAGUUUAUAUUUCAUCAAAUCUUUCAUACAAGUUUUCAAUUAAAAAACUAUUGAUUAUGCUACCUUUGUACAGUCAUUAUACUGCAGCCCUUUAAUAUUUAUCAGUGGGCAGAUUAGACUUUAAAUUAUACUCAAA